GGGGAAUUUUCCGCAAUGGGCGAAAGCCUGACGGAGCAAUACCGCGUGAGGGAUGACGGCCUAUGGGUUGUAAACCUCUUUUUUCAGGGAGGAAACAAAUGACGUUACCUGAAGAAUAAGCAUCGGCUAACUCCGUGCCAGCAGCCGCGGUAAGACGGAGGAUGCAAGUGUUAUCCGGAAUCACUGGGCGUAAAGCGUCUGUAGGUGGUUGAAUAAGUCAACUGUUAAAUCUUGAGGCUCAACCUCAAAACCGCAGUCGAAACUAUUCGACUAGAGUAUAGUAGGGGUAAAGGGAAUUUCCAGUGGAGCGGUGAAAUGCGUAGAGAUUGGAAAGAACCCCGAUGGCGAAGGCACUUUACUGGGCUAUUACUAACACUGAGAGACGAAAGCUAGGGUAGCAAAUGGGAUUAGAUACCCCAGUAGUC
This 425-nucleotide ribosomal RNA is filed under the name uncultured cyanobacterium. Its description in RNAcentral is "bacterial SSU rRNA". It matches the Rfam family "Bacterial small subunit ribosomal RNA", at positions 356 to 795 of the family's 1533-position model. The record is from RNAcentral. Lineage: Bacteria; Bacillati; Cyanobacteriota.